UUACAUCAUUCGCAUAUUUUAUAGUAAUAUUAAAUCAUACGAGUAAUGAAAUAUGAAAUAUAAAAUGAACGUCUUUAAGCGUACUUCCGAUAACACGUGUAAUAUGAUAUGUCUAUAUGUUAGAAUAUUCAUGUGUCCAAACGUUCUAAGAAUUAACAGCAGAUGCGUAUAAUAGCAAUUACUUUUUAUUCACUGCGAAAACCAGCGGUCCCCACACACUGCAAUAAUCACAUUUCGCAAGCAUUAGUUCAGUAAUAUAUACACAUAAAGAAAGCUACAGCGGCAGCUAGAAAUUAGGUGAAAAUAUCUAUACACGUGUAGCAUGAACAUAUCAAUACUUUACUAUAUUAUGAGUACAGACACGUUCAAGACGGUACAUAUAAUACGCACGCACGCUCGCAGAUGCACGAACGCAUACACUCACGCAAACACGCGCGAGGGCACGUCCGCACGCACGCACGCAUGCAGACACAAACGCAUACGCAUUCGUGCGCACGCACGCGCCCACGCGCGCACACACGCUGAACCACCCUAGUAUAAACCUAUAUCCAGGUAAUAUGUAAUUUAUCCGCAAACAAAUCAAGUAUACAAUCUCGGAACUCUUCCAAACACAUUAAACAAUUCAGCGACGUAUAAGUUUAAUCAUCAUACUUGCGCGAGUGUACAAAGCAAAUCGGUGGAAUAAAUACAACACAUCUCGGUUCUGUUUCAUAGUACACAAACAUUCAGCACCUAUACCACCACCUGCCAGACAACCCCCCUCGUAAGAUUGCAAGCCCUGCUUCCAACACACGUACCUACCACAAUUUAUUUCCAAUUACACAGCGAAACAUUGAGAACACAGCGCCCCCUUGAUACGAGACCCCAGCGCGACGGCGGCGCCACCUAGACGAUGCAUGGCGUAAAAAACGAAUCCGCCUUUUGACCCCCUCACUAGAGGUGGGAAGAUUCAUCGAUAAAUCGAUGUAUCAUGAUACAAACCUUACCGGUACACGCAUCGAUACGUUUAUCCAUUCACGAUACACAAUUCGAUGCUCUACUGAAUAAAAUCCAUAUAAUUUAGUAGCAUAGUUUCGUCGAAAAACAAAAGAUACAUGACACAAUUGGCAAUUCAAUAGCAGUUGUUUACUAAGCACUCCACAAUACUGAUUUGUAACCGUUCACCAAGUGUACAGUUUGCCAAGCACCUUCUCCUGAAAGUAUCGUGAUACGUAUUGUGAUAAAUAUCGAUAUAAUCAAAAAGGUGUAUCAUGAUACGUUACGUAUCGUGAAAGGUGUGUCGUGACACGUAUCGUACCGUAAGAGGUGUAUCGUGACACGUAUCAUAUCGUGAAAGGUGUAUCAUGAUACGUAUCGUACCGUAAGAGGUGUAUCGUGACACGUAUCGUAUCGUGAAAGGUGUAUCGUGACACGUAUCGUAUCGUAAAAGGUUGUAUCGUGAUACAUAUCGUAUCGUGAAAGGUUGUAUCGUGAAAGGUUGUAUCGUGAUACGUAUCAUACCGUAAGAGGUGUAUCGUGAUACGUAUCGUAUCGUGAAAGGUGUAUCGUGACACAUAUCGUAUCAUAAAAGGUUGUAUCGUGAUACAUAUCGUAUCGUGAAAGGUGUAUCGUGAUACGUAUCGUAUCGUGAAAGGUGUAUCGUGAUACACAUCGUAUCAUAAAAGGUUGUAUCAUGAUACGUAUCGUAUCGUGAAAGGUGUAUCGUGACAUGCAUCGUAUCAUAAAAGGUUGUAUCGUGAUACAUAUCAUAUCGUGAAAGGUUGUAUCGUGAUACGUAUCGUAUCGUGAAAGGUGUAUCGUGAUACGUAUCGUAUCGUGAAAGGUGUAUCGUGAUACACAUCGUAUCAUAAAAGGUUGUAUCGUGAUACGUAUCGUAUCGUGAAAGGUGUAUCGUGAUACGUAUCGUAUCGUGAAAGGUUUGUCGUGACACGCAUCGUAUCGUAAAAGGUUUAUCGCAAAAUGGAUCAUAUCGCGAGCUACCCGUAUCAUCCCACCCUUACCCGCUCACGUCCCUCGUGCGGCCAGCUGAAAUACGUGAUCCUUAAACCGUCGACUCAACAUCUCAAAGGAUUCAAACGUGACGAAAGGCGCGCGUGACGAUGCAAGCCAAUUGCAGCCGGCCUGUCGCGGGUAACGCCGCUGCCGGAACGCAUAUAUAGGUUCGGAUUGGUGCAGAGUGUGCACUACCACUACUAGAUAUGUACAGAGAGACCCACAACGCGACGACCGAAAAUAUAUAGGAAUACCGUCCACCAUCGCCGCCAACGCCACUAAUUGAAUAUCACAUUGGAAAACUUGAUUUUCAUCCCGCAGCACAGAAGAAGUCAAAUGUUUUUAUUAUCGAAAAGAUCCAACUCGUCAGAUGCAUUAUAUAUACAUAUAUAUGCGUGACAUAUAUGUAUACGUGUGCGUGUGUCUAUACAUAUAUACGUAACAUGCAUAUAUAUAUAUAUAUACACAUGCACAUAUGUAUACAUGUAUAUUGGCCGCAAGUUGUGUGGUGUUGGCGCCGUGACCCCCACAAUCCAAAAUGAUGAGCGUGUGAGGUGCAGUAACAGCAGCAGCCGCAGCAGCAGCUAUAGCAGCAGCAG
Priapulus caudatus is the source of this 2591-nucleotide long non-coding RNA. RefSeq lists it as uncharacterized. The record is from RefSeq and is a predicted model, not a curated record. Lineage: Eukaryota; Metazoa; Priapulida; Priapulimorpha; Priapulimorphida; Priapulidae. The transcript is spliced from 5 exons.